RNAcentral lists this ribosomal RNA (570 nucleotides) under Meyerozyma guilliermondii. RNAcentral's name for it is "partial large subunit ribosomal RNA". Lineage: Eukaryota; Fungi; Ascomycota; Pichiomycetes; Serinales; Debaryomycetaceae. The record is from RNAcentral.
GCGGUUUGGGAUCAUUAUGCCAGCAUCCUUGAUAAAAUCGCAGUCCUCAGUCUAGGCAGGCAGCAUCAACGCAGGCUAUAACACUUCACCGAAGUAAAGUCACAUUCCUACGCCAUUAUCCUACCGCCCAAACCGAUGCUGGCCCGAUAAGCUGCGGGUCACCCCGCCACGAAGGCAAGGCUCACAAAAUAUCGAGUCUGAUCUCAAACCCUUCCCUUUCAACAAUUUCACGUACUUUUUCACUCUCUUUUCAAAGUUCUUUUCAUCUUUCCAUCACUGUACUUGUUCGCUAUCGGUCUCUCGCCAAUAUUUAGCUUUAGAUGGAAUUUACCACCCACUUAGAGCUGCAUUCCCAAACAACUCGACUCUUCGAAAGCACCUUACAUAGAAUUGGGCAUCUCAUCGCACGGGAUUCUCACCCUCUGUGACGUCCUGUUCCAAGAAACAUAGACAAGAGCCAACCCCAAGGUUACAAUCUUCAAAUUACAACUCGGACACCGAAGGCGCCAGAUUUCAAAUUUGAGCUUUUGCCGCUUCACUCGCCGCUACUAAGGCAAUCCCUGUUGGUUU